Molecule: long non-coding RNA, 205 nt
Filed under: Capsicum annuum
Lineage: Eukaryota; Viridiplantae; Streptophyta; Magnoliopsida; Solanales; Solanaceae
Description: long non-coding RNA (CANN_LNC006758)
Source: RNAcentral
UUUUUAGUAGUAGCAUUCCCAUUCCUUGAACCCCUAACACUGAGUUUUGAUUAAUUCUUUUUGUUAUUUUUUUCUUUCCCCUUUUAAGCUUUGUCCCACCUUGUACUUCUCUGUAUGUUUUGUUGAAUUGAGAUAGUGUGUUGCGUUUCCAAUUUCUCUUGACUAGAAACUGCAAUUUCCAUGUUCUCAUUUCCCUCUUCUUGCA